CGGGCUGGAUUUUCAGCAAAGGGUCUUCAGUAACUUUGGUAGAAGUCUCCUCCGAAGCGCUUCGCCUUGUGGUGCGCUUUGGAGGUGGAGGUUUGGUGCCUUUCUUCUUCGGCGGUUGGGUACUGCCGGAGCCCUCUCCUUUGGUUUUUGCCAUUGCGAGUUGCAGAGUUCUAAAAACUAGAAUUUGUGUAGGAGUUCGGAUUCUGUGGGAAUUUUGGGGGUAGGGUUUGCUUUUAAGAAAGGUGAUCGGCAGUUAUGGAAAUUUAGGGUUUGAGGUGAGUGGUGAUCGUGGUGUAGCAGUUUCCGGAGGUUAGGGUUUGUGGGGAAGAAAAUCGUGGGUUAAGGCUUUGAAUAUGGUAAGUGUGGCGGUUAUGGCAGAAAAAGGAUUUUAAGGAAUAAAAUCAUGACCGAAAUUUGAAAUUCAAAUUUUCUGCGGAAACCGAAGGGUUGCAGUCCCAUCGCCGCCUGCCCCUGACACGCUUGCGUCAUUUCCCUGCGUAAGCCCUCUCCCAGACCGUUCCAAUCCCUAGCUCUCCACCUACACACUUUGCAACGCAAAGUGGGCUCGGAUCAACCUCUGGGCCUUUUUCCAAUUAUCUCGGCCCGACUUAUC
This 613-nucleotide long non-coding RNA is filed under the name Salvia miltiorrhiza (redroot sage). Its description in RNAcentral is "long non-coding RNA (SMIL_LNC003437)". The record is from RNAcentral. Lineage: Eukaryota; Viridiplantae; Streptophyta; Magnoliopsida; Lamiales; Lamiaceae.